This is a long non-coding RNA of Astatotilapia calliptera (eastern happy), 1297 nucleotides long. The record is from Ensembl. Lineage: Eukaryota; Metazoa; Chordata; Actinopteri; Cichliformes; Cichlidae.
CACUUUUUUCCCCCAAGAAAUAGACUCGGACGGCCUUUUCUUUGAAAUGCCAAAACCGCUGACAUCUCAUUCACAAAAAAUCUCCUCUUCCAUCUCCUGCUUAUGGCCACAGUAAGAUGGCUAUCAUACCUUCAUAACUUAUCACAUGUGUUCAGGAUUUAUCAGUGUCAUAUUAACGCACUGGGUACCUUUGGCAUGCCAAGUGCCAUUUUACUUAAUCUGACAAGAGCUGUAGGCUUAUUUAACCGCAUCUAAAUUUGCUAAACCAGAGCAGCUAUUUUUGGUGUGUAACUCUAAACUCGCAAUAAGCAAAAGCAACAGUUAAAAAUGAAUGCAAAUGAAAAUUAGAGAGUGAAAACUAAGUCUAAACUGGAAACAAACCAAAACAUCUAAGCUGACAAAUGGAUUUACCACAUUGCUUCGUCCUUAGAGUACUAGCUAAAGCUGUGACACAUGUGAGAAUAACCCUGUUUAUUUUAUUGGAGUUAUUUUGGCUCAGGGCUUAGAGACAUAUUUAGAAGACAAAGCCUGGAUUCAGUUCUAAGUUAAAGAGGGGCUUCAAAUUUACUAAACUAUCAAGUACCAUUAUGUAGGCUCCAGUGGUUUUAGAGGGCAAUUCACAUUAUGAAACAAGACCCAUGAUGCUUAUUAUUUUAAUUCCUGUGUUCUGCAAAAUAAGCUUUUUUUUUUUUUUCUUUUUUGUAUUUUGUAGUUCAAAAUAAGUCUCAUUUAUUUUAUACUGGGCCUUGGUGAAGCCUUGAUUAGUUGGAUUUGUGUGCCUGGGAAGACCGUAUUAAGGUUUUCACUCCUCACUGACAUACAGAGCUAAGAGUUGAAAAAAAGUGUGUGAAACCAAGAGCUUACAGAAGUCUGAAGCCUGAGAUUGUGGCUCAGAGGAAUCACUUGUACUUGUUCCUUAUUUUCUGUCAGAAAAUAAGGAAAAAAGCAUAAGAGAUUCCUCGUCAAACCCACUGAACAAGAACUGAUAUUUUUCUCCCCUCUUUUGCCACAUGGGGCUUAAAAGUGAAACAAGUUCAUACUGAAAACACACAUGAUUUCACGAUGAUUAAUUUUUAUGGCACUUAUCAGUGUAGAUCCAACAUCCUCUCACUUUUUUUGAUCUGUUUUUUUGGCACCUAACACCUGAGGAAGGAAAAUACCAUAUGUCACUGCAUCUGCUAAACAUGCUAACCAGCUAGCUGCUAAUGUCAUCUCUGCCAUUUAGCAUUAAGCAGGUAACGAGCAGUUGGUUUUUUUUCACUGAAAACAGCUGCCUGCUAUGGCCGAAAUCAACAGA